This is a long non-coding RNA of Triticum aestivum (bread wheat), 1564 nucleotides long. RefSeq lists it as uncharacterized. The transcript is spliced from 2 exons. The record is from RefSeq and is a predicted model, not a curated record. Lineage: Eukaryota; Viridiplantae; Streptophyta; Magnoliopsida; Poales; Poaceae.
UUCUCAUUAUUGCUUCGCGACCUUGUCCUUGGACCGAGAUCCGCACUAGCCCAUCUCCCUGCCGCUCGUCGACGGCGGCGGGGUCCAGAUCCGGUGCUCCUCCCCCUCCCAAUCCAUCUUCCAGGCAGGCUCAGCCUCCAGGCGCCCCUCGACGCCGCACUGCACCUCAUCGACCAGGACCCUGGUCGCCGCCGCCACGGUCUCCUCCUCCCUGGUGGCCGCGGACGCCAACUCGUGCAUCUGCCCAGGAAUCCAUGAGGCACCACCUGGCCGUCUCUGUGGCGGAUUACGACAGAUUUGCGACCAAGCUCAAGACCCCCGGCACAGACUUGUUCGCCAAGACGCAACCCGAUGGCCGCGCGCGCCAAGUGUUCUUCCUCGACCGGGACGCAUUUGUAAGGGAGUGGUGUUCCAUGAUGUAAGGGCGUGCUCUGAUAAAAACAUGACAUGACAAUAGAGGUUUGUGCUUCUUGUUGCUUCGAAGCUACCACUUCAUCGUCUUGCUAUUACUGCCAUCGAAUUGUUGUUAUUGAAAUUUGAUCAAUUGGCUGACAACUAGACAUUUUGAUAAUGCUUGCCCAACUAUGUUAAAGUAGUGUUUGUCGAAUAUUACCUUAGGGUAUCAAUUUAGAAAAAUGGAGGAAUUGAAAAGUUAUAACAGGAAUGUACAAAAACAUUAAAGACAAGAACUUUAUAUGAAGCUUCAGUUCCUGUCUGUAUUCUCCUUUUCUGAGAUUUAAUAUGAAGCUUUAGUUCCUACACUAAUUACAGUUCAUGUCUUCUACUACAGUUAUUGUCCAUAUGCAUGUUGCUCUCAUGUAGGUUGGUCCAUUGACAAAACCAUUUGCUCUUUGAUGUUCCAAGUUUGGUGUCUAGAAAAAGGAGAUCCAGGCUUGGAGUUGUAAUAGGUCCUAAUGAACCUACGUAGGUGUGCUUCCUUUCUAUGUAGUGAAAAAUAAUGCCGUGCCGCCACCUCAUCUAUGAUAACUAUCUAUUCAGAUUUAUCUAAUUAUGCAAGAAACCAACUAUUUAUAUCUUCCAAUACAUCAAGCUGAUAGUCUCAGGAAUCUGAAAUCAGCUUAAAUCAUAACACUCAUGUAUUCGUCAAAGAGCUUUGUUAUGGCAUAUAUACUAAAUCAUGAAGAACAUUUGGAUGCAAAGCACCCAUGUUCCUGAGAGAAACCCAUGCUGUACAUUUCCGUUCUCUCAUUUUUACUUUGCGAAGUUAUCUCAAGCAUAUGCUUUUAGUUUUGUGCAGGUAGAUUUGACAACUGGAUGCCCAGGCUUAGAUAGGAACUGAGAUGACAUAGCAGCGGAAGAACACGAUGAUUUUCCAGUUCAUUUCAUUAGCACUUUGAUUUAUUGAGGGCGGCGAAGUGAAGGAAGCUCUGUGUGCGAAAAUAAACACACCUUUGUGUGUAAAAAGUGUACUGAUGGAUUUUCUGUGUAACUGGUAUUUCUGUUCACGCUUAAGAAGUGCUUCAUAAUGGCCGAAUUGUACAGUUCAAGUUGAGUGUGUUAAUCAUUAUCUAUAAUAAAUCAGGUUUCUGAAUUUUGUGUCACU